This 890-nucleotide long non-coding RNA is filed under the name Olea europaea (common olive). RNAcentral's name for it is "long non-coding RNA (OEUR_LNC006910)". Lineage: Eukaryota; Viridiplantae; Streptophyta; Magnoliopsida; Lamiales; Oleaceae. The record is from RNAcentral.
UAUUUUGUAAGAAAUAAAAUUGAAUGUCAUUAGCUGAAUUAAUGUAACUUUGUAAAUAUUAAAAAAUUUAAUUAUAAUACGGAACCCAAGAACCAAAUCGAACUGAUCCGAAUAAAACCGAAUCUAAACGAUUCCAUAAUUAAAUUUGAAUCUGACGAUUUUACUGACUAAACACCCAAAAAUUUCGGGUCCGAUAUGGUUCCCUUUAGAACCGAAUCGAACCAAAUCAUAUCCAACCAUAGAUAUAAACAAGACUUUUUUGCUAAAUAUAAAUAUAAGAUUAAAAAUAUAUAUAUAUAUAUAUUCGUAGAUAUAGUAUAAUUUGCAUUACUACUGAAUUCACAAUUCACAAGUUUAAAUCCCAUCUCAACUGGAAGAUCAUACGUUGUUUUCAGAUGAAGCGAGAAUCCAGGGAUAGAUGGCUCAGAUCCACCCACAGCAAAUCUCUUCAUAAAUCUAUAGCUUGUCCGAAUACCUUGGCAAGGUCUAUGUAACUCGUCCUCCUUAAAACGUUCUGCCUAGACGUAAGUUGUUAGAAGAUGAGUCAUAAUUGAAGUAAGAAACUGGCUUCCUAUUACAGCUUUCGCUGCAAGCAAAAUCGACAAUCAACCGAGCAAUAGUGUCUGGCUUCUCGACAUGAGGCAUAUGACCACACUCUGAUACUUUCUGUAUAACUGCAUUUGGAAGUUCACUCUGCAGUCUCUGCAUUUUGUUUCAAAGGAACAGAAUUAUUUAAACAGUAUUUACCAAAUGAAGAAUAGAAGAUGAAAACCCAUCAUAGCCGAAGCUAUUGAAAAGGACACAGACUUGGUUUUUCAUAUUACUUAAUUGAUUAGGGAAGCCUGAUACAAAACCAAAGGGGUCGGUUCUCCAUUCAAUUCUUUUUUNNN